This is a non-coding RNA of Pelobates cultripes (western spadefoot toad), 210 nucleotides long. The record is from the annotation of a GenBank genome assembly. NCBI's taxonomy places the organism in Eukaryota, Metazoa, Chordata, Amphibia, Anura, Pelobatidae.
AAAUGUCUCACCUGUGGCUAAAUCAGCCAUCUCAUUUCAAGUUUUAGCCCUUAUAAUAGCCCAGAGGUAUUUUCAGUGCAAUCUGAAAUUACCUGCAACACUCCAUUUGUAGUGUACCUCUUAAUUUGCCCGUGUGAUUGGCAGUAUGUGGGCCAAACCACCAGGCCCUUGAAAUGCAGGUUUCGAGAACAUAGAACGGCUAUAAUUCGC